RNAcentral lists this non-coding RNA (23 nucleotides) under Arabidopsis thaliana (thale cress). The record is from RNAcentral. Lineage: Eukaryota; Viridiplantae; Streptophyta; Magnoliopsida; Brassicales; Brassicaceae.
UAGCUGACUUUGAGAAUGGUACU